CGCAGGAAGUGACGAGACGGGAUGUGCCAAGAGGUGGCACCGGAGGAAGUGACACCGGAGGAAGCAGUGAUGUCACACGUGGGCAGCCUGGUGCCCAGCUGGGGAGAGGGCCCAAUCACCCACUCACGCCCCCUAGUGGUCAGUUUCCAAGGCCAGGCUCACAUGUUUCUGCUUUUAAAGGAAGUGAAGUCGAUCUGAAUUGGCGCCACAGCCCAGACAGGCUGACCAGGGAAAGGGGCACCUGGCUGGACACGGGUGCAGCCUGUGACAGCGCUGAUGUGCUAGGAGUAGGAGCAGGGUUCGGAGAGGCCGAGUCGCUGGCCGAAGCGGCACUGCUCAGGUUUGGGGGUGUGCCUUUUUGCCCCAAAGCCGUGGCCCUUCGCCAGAUGUGUGGAGGCCUCCACUGGGGCUGCCACGUGUCCUUGGGGACAGUUCUGACCUCAGAUCAGAGUUUUCUUUUGGUACCAGGGAUCGAACUUGGGACCUUGUGCUUGCAAGGCAGGCGGUGGCACCACUGAGCUAAAUCCCCAGCCCAGAUCAGAGUUUUGAAGUGGGAAGUCACCUUGGCUUGUUCACCCUGCUGCGGUGGGUUCCACAGUUGGGGAGGUGCAGGGUUGGGCCAGGAUGGGCCAGUCUCCGGCUGUGCCAUGCUGUACGCCUGCCCACCCUGCUGGACACAGACCCCCAGGACAGGUCACCCCACUGACGAGCUGCACGCAGGCGCAAGCCCAAUCCAGAGCUGGAAUCCAGCUCCCUCCUCAACUAGGCCAAGAGCCCAGGCGAGAGCCGGCUUCAAAACACCGAGCAGAGCACAGAGACAAAUACAUCUCGGCUGUUACACAGACAAAGGCCCUGGCGGCGUCUCCCUGCCUAAGACAGACAGACACACAGACAGACAGCCAGGCCAGCAACUCCUGAUGCAGGCACUGCAGGACUUCACAGCUCAUUUUAGACAAGGCAAACAAACAUGGUCAGCGCAUUCCUUCUCCCUGUGGUUUCCUUCCAGGGUCGGCAGCUGUGGUGCACAGGUCGCUAUGAGCUCAGGGUGUGAAGGGGGCGAGGCGGGUGGGUGGCCUGCGGGCUUCACCUGACCCUUCCAACACGUCCCUGGUCACUUGGGAAACAGUUACAGCUGAGGAUGGAGUCCUCACCUCAGCCCUGCUAGGAUACAGUCUUACCGGUUAAGGAACAGCCAUACUGCUGCUCAUUUAAGUGGGGUCCAGUUAUCAACAAACAUUCUAACCCUGCGGCUCUCAGCCCUCCCGAGGCCUUUUUCCUGACUGAGCAGAAGCUGGAAAAGCCAGGGACUUGCUCUGCUUCCCAUCGCAGCUGCUCCAGGCCACUGCCUCACUGUGGUAUAAAAAGGGUUGUGUCCCUGGUCACCCGUGUUCUAGGGAUGUGGCUGCUGUUUCUUCCCUGUGGCUUCUGAAGUUCUGGGUCAGGAUGACCAAGGCCCCCUCUUGCUCCCCGAAUUUCUGCAGUGAUCCGUACCGAAGCAACUGCUAUGCAUUUCCUGUUUGGAGUGGGGCCACCCCAAUGGAGCAGUGGCACAUCAGCCCCGUUCUGUGCCAGGAUGCAGGCUUUCUGGGAGACACUUGUUUUGGGGGACCAGGACGACACAAGGGGGCAGAUGUCGAGAAAACAUGCCAAAGGUAGCGUUUACCUCAAAUCCAAAUGCCAUGCAGCAGUGCUCCAUCCAAUAAUGUAGGAGCCUCUUUACCCAGCACCUGGACACAGUGGGGUGUGGGGCUCCUCAACUCAAACCCCAGCAGCCCAGAGACGAGAAUGCGGGGCUCCCUGGGGGACCUCUCUCCAGCAACCCAGCUAGGGGCAGAAACUGGACCAAGCUUAAUUCCACCGGCCCCAAAGCUGGCCUGAACCCAGGGCUCUUCGGUCCACUCUGGUGCCCUCACCAGCUGGAAAGCUGGGGUGACAACAGGAAUGCCAGCUGCAGGCCCCCAAACACCUGUUUACCUCCACCAAGAUUUUAACUGUAUUCCAGAGGACGGUUAUAAAAUAAUUCUUAGUUUGGCCAACUGACCUUCAUCUUCUGUAAAAACAUCAAGUUGGGAUUAAGAUGACAGUGCAGCCGGGGUGGAAGCCAAAGAGGAGGACAGCUUUGGUCUAUCCAUUCUGCAUUAAGCCCGUCCAUGCAUUCCUGACUUGCUUCUUUAACAAUCGGCCAUGUGCGGGACAGGAUAACAGCACCUGGCAGUCAGGGGCAGACUGCACGGUUGGGGGCCUCGGAGGUCAGAAAGGAGCCCAGCAGGCCCUGUCACCUGGGGACGCCGGUCACCGUUGCCCGAAGUGGUGCAGUGCUCGGCUUCUGGGUCUGACGCCAUGUGAGCACACUACUGCACUGCCAGCCAAACAGACGGAGCACACACAGCUCCAGAGAGCACGUAACACAGUUCAGGGACCAUCAGGCCAAGAGGACUGGUGAAAGACUAAAAGAUACCCACAAGACUACCUCCGUUGGUACCCGAUCUGGCUACUGGCCAUCCGGCCCCGCACAUCUGCAUGGAGAAGACGUCAGGGAUCUUGGCCUGGGUCACCAGGGAAUCAAAGAAUGUCUCCAGGGAGCUUGAUGGCUGCAGGAGGGGAAAAGACAGACAGAGGUUCUGGACUCAGCGUGAAGACCAGGGUGUCGAGCCACACGAAGGGGAGACAUUUUGCCCAAGGUCAUACUGAAAGGACUGAGGAAUGUAAACUCCUGUCAGUUGUGUGGGUCCAAAGAUCUAUUUCAUUAGCUCUGCAGAACCGAGGACAGCGGGGCUCCGCACUGGGCUCUGAGCUCUGGCCUCAGCAGGGUGGGGUGUACCUCUCUCUCAGGGGCCCCCAUGUCCAGCAUGAGGAGACUGCGGCCUCGAGAGGAGCAGGAGGCUUGAGCACUGAGUGAAUUUUCUCACCCAAGUGCCCGGGGCUGGGUCAUUCUUAUCCUUUCCCAUUGGGCUCCUCCUCCGCUCCCCAGCCUGCAGCAGUUCCUAAGAAUCUGAGCUGAACAAAUGCUCUACAGCUCGGCCUCGGGCAGCAGGGCCCAUUGUUCUGCAACUACACUUCUUCCUUGACUCCGAACUCUGGCCCCAAGCCCGAGGCUGACCCAAGGAGCCGGGCCACAGCGCCAGGGCCAGCAGCAGCACCCCUGCGUCAGUUCUGCCUGCACCUGGUUGCUUCCUGGUGGAAAAUUCCCUGGCCCCUCCUCUUCUGCUCACCACCGUUUCCUCUGGGCUGGGCCCCAGGACGAUAAUCAGAGAACAUCCAAUUCUGUGUCACCCCAGAAGGCUCGGCUGCCACUGAGGGCCAGGGCUCCCCCAUUCUUCCCUGGCUCUCCGCUCAAGGAGGGGAUGGAAAUUCCCACUUCUGGGCCCUGUGUCUCCUCCGAGGUCUCUGGAGGUGACAGGAGAAAACUCCUAAGCAAAUUCCCUCAGCCUCAGCAACGUGGUUCAGAUUCUGCUCACAUUGUUUUUUUAAAGCUUCAGAACUAAAACAAAACCAAAAUAAAAACAGUCCAUGCAAGUGUUAGUAUCUCUUCUAGGAAGACUCCAAGAAUGGUGCUGUGUACCUUAAAUUUUAUGUCUGUUUUCGUGAUUUUCCUGCU
Molecule: non-coding RNA, 3598 nt
Organism: Heterocephalus glaber (naked mole-rat)
Lineage: Eukaryota; Metazoa; Chordata; Mammalia; Rodentia; Bathyergidae
Source: RefSeq, a predicted model, not a curated record